GUUUGUUUCUUGGACACAGAUUAAGCUUAAUCCUGGACUAAACACUUUCAAUGGAGAUUCUCCAUUGAGCAUGCUUUUGUGUCCAGGACAAGGCUCAAUCUGUGACUGGGAAAGUUCAGAUAAAGGCAUUGGUUUUCAUCAUAUCACAUUCAAUCAUCAACUCCUUUCAGUGCUCAUGAAGAGAUGAGGAAAUGAGCUGAGCUGAGGAAAGGAGAGAAGCAAAGGAUACUUGGAAAGGAGUGAGGUGAGGAGGAUAGUGGAUAUCCAAGCCUAUUGGCACACAGCCCUUGUAUUUAUUGUAAUAGAUACUUUCUGAGUUUCAGAAUAAGAGCGUGUGAGCAGACACAGAGAGCAUGGGCUCCUGAGUUCUUCUGCAAAUAGAUGGAUUUACAGGUGGAUAAACGUAGAUAAACUUUUUUCACAGGGACUUGUGCAGGAUACUAACCUCAACAUCAAAAACUACAUUCCAAGUCACAAUUCCAAACCUAGAACCUUGAUUUUGGACAAAAUUACCUGAAUGGACUACUGCUACCAAGGAUUAUCAAUAAGGGAACUUCUAACAGACCAAGACCUGCAGAGGAAACAUGGCGGAACAUGGAAAUACCAUCCAGCACAAAACUGAGUGAGCAGUGUUCAGUCUGGACCUAUUUGUGAAACCAAAAAUGUGGACAUCGACAUCAAACUGAGGUCCUGCCAAGAAUCAUGCAACAGGACCUUUGCUUUCCUUAUCGACCACGACAGUUACCGGUCACAACAGGACCUGAUGACCAAAUUCAAUAACAAUACCAAGCAUCAGAAGAAGAACUCCCCUGUUAAAGACAUCCUGAAGAUCAAACUACAACCAGUGAAUGUCGAUCCUCCACCGUUGUUCAGCUACAAAACCAUCCCCAUCAUCCACAAGGAACUCCUGACUCAGUUUGAGGACCUAGAACAGAACGAGGUGGUUCUAGAAGACGUUCUAGAAUAAAUGGAAUGUCUGGGUUCCGUAGGGGUGACAGCCUUUCAAGAAUGUUAAUAAACCAAGAGAGAACUCUCUUGCUGGAUAACCAAAAUAUUAUUUUGAAUAGUAUAUUGUGUCAUAUUGUACCCUUAUCACUUAUAUUAAAGGAAUAUUGCAUAUUGUUUAACUACAAUUACCUGUAUAUGUAUGAUAUAAACUUAGC
Oncorhynchus tshawytscha (Chinook salmon) is the source of this 1163-nucleotide long non-coding RNA. The record is from Ensembl. NCBI's taxonomy places the organism in Eukaryota, Metazoa, Chordata, Actinopteri, Salmoniformes, Salmonidae.